UGCUUCCAUUCUAUCAGGGAACUCAUUACGUACACACAUGCACAUGCGGGUGUGCACAAAAAACAUGCAAGGUGAAUAGAAGGUAAUUUGCAAGGAUAGAAGGCGUUGGCCGUUGGGAGACCAGGCAAGUCCCUGGAAGAGAGGCUACUCAUGAGCGCCGAAAAAAGCCAGGAAUUCUGAGAGGCAGAGAGAGGUGAACCGGGAGUGCACUCCAGGCCUGGAGGAGAGUGAAGACUGAACAUUGUGUGUGAAGAAUAACAAGCAGCCAGCUUGGCUGGAAUGUGGACUGGGUGAAGUAUGCCAAAGAAGAUGAGAUUUUACACCUCUGCCUUGGUUGUUUUUUUCGAGCUGUAGAUACCUCCAUCCCUGGAGCCUCCUCUUCUGAAUGGUGAGUUCCUGCCUGGAAGCUCCAUUUAAAGAUGUGACCAAUUUAGCCAU
Long non-coding RNA from Monodelphis domestica (gray short-tailed opossum), 438 nucleotides. NCBI's taxonomy places the organism in Eukaryota, Metazoa, Chordata, Mammalia, Didelphimorphia, Didelphidae. The record is from Ensembl.